GGAACAAUUAGAAGAUCGAAAUCCAAACCUACUAAGGGAGCUUCAUCCUCCAAACCGUAUAGAUCUCAAUCAACUAAUGAAAACAGGUUGUACAGACAAAUCUUGGAUUGGAAACGCGCUGAUGCAAGAACGAUCUCAAGGAGAUCACAAGCAAUCAGCACAAAUCCAAACGACCUCAUCAAGCAAAUGCGAAGUCUCACUAUCAAGGCGUCUGAAUCUGCGAAAGACUGUAGGACUCAGGAGAGGGAAAAGACGCCGAAGAAAAGGACGCGUUUUGUUAUAACGGAUUUAAGCUCCAACAAUCUUGCGAGACAUGACGAAAAGUUUUUCCGACCGCUGACCGGGCGGGAGAAGCAGCGUCGGAUCUCCGUCUGGGUGCAGAACGUCGAGCACCAGCGGCUGGCGGCGCCCGACUCCACGGAGGCCGUCACGUGCGACACGCCGAGCACAGAGACCACCGGUCGGCUGUCUGCCUCGCUGGUCAGCCAGCACGGCUCCUCGGCGGCCACACCGACCCAGCACCACCAGCACCAGCACCAGCACCAGCGGACGGCGCCGGCCCACCGACACCAGCACCACCACGGCCCCGGUCCCGCCAAACGGCCUCAUGUUUGAACGGGCGGGGAGCGCACUGAACCUUCCCAUGGAGCCUGCCCCUGCCGGGGUUCUCUGAAUCAACGGCGAAAGGAUUGAACGCACAGUCAGCGACGAAUGACCGAACGACACGAUGGUGACAACGACAAUGGGGAGUAAUUGCUCAGAAGGCGGCACCACGCCGCAAACGAGAAGUGGUGCAGCGAACCUCUAAGAUGCGACUCGUAUGUGACCUAAACAUGAUCAAUAAACGAGAAGAUAUGAAACUUUA
Molecule: long non-coding RNA, 865 nt
Organism: Amphibalanus amphitrite
Lineage: Eukaryota; Metazoa; Arthropoda; Thecostraca; Balanomorpha; Balanidae
Exons: 2
Source: RefSeq, a predicted model, not a curated record